CUUCAUUUUCUUUCAUUUAGCAAUGUUUUUAUUUCAUCUUCAUUCUUGAUGGAUAUUUUCACUGGAUAAAGAAUUCUGGACUGAUAGCUUUUUUAUUUCAGUGCUUUAAAAAUGUUUUUCCACUUCACUCUGGUUUCUACAAUCUCUGAUGAGAAAUUCUCAGUCAUUUGAAUAGUUGUUUUCCUACAAGCAGGGUUUUUCAGCCUUAGCAGCACUGAUAUUUGGGGCCAGAAAUUCUUGUGGGAGGCUUUCUUGUACAAUGCAGGAAACUUAGAGGCAUUCAUUGCUUCUGCCCACUAGAUGUCAGUAGCACCUAUCCCCGGCCAUCACAAUAAAACAUGUCUCUAGACUUUGCUAGAUGUCCCUGGGUUGUUUCAGAAGACAAAAUCAGACCCGUUGAGAAUCACUGCUACAGAGGAAGAAUGAGGACAAUAGACCAAUGGAUACAGGAUGGUGCCUGUGAAGUACAUCUACAGAGAAAUCCUCUCUAGCAAGGCUCAUCCAGGACACCUACCUGCAUUUUUCCAUCAAGGUUGAAACAAACACUGCUUGUUCGCAAAGGAGUAGACAUUUACUCCAAAAAUAUAUUUGCCUUCCUUGCCUGAAAUGCUUCUGCCAAACCCACCAUCUGUGAACUUGAGGAAUGCCUUACUCAUGAUCAUGUUAUUACAUACUCCUGACCAAGGAAUUCAUUUUACCAAACAUAAAGUGCAGAGAUACUCAUGAAAUGUAUUGCUCUUAUCAUGAUCUUCAUCACUCUAAAGCAACUGGCCUGAAACAAAGGUGAAAUGAGCUUUUGAAGCGUCAACUGAGUGACUAAAUUUUGUGAAGCUAGGAUAACAUUCUCCACAAUGUGGCAUAUGGCCUCCAUCAGCAACCAAUCUAUGACCCUGUUUCUCUCAUAGUCGAGAUUCAUAAAUCCAGAAAACAAAGGAUAAACAGGAGUGACUCUUCUUACUGUUACUCCUAAAGAUAUAGUUACAUGCUAUUACUGCCCAUUCUCAACACCUUUGGACUCUGCUGGCCUAGAAGUCUUAGUUUUCAAGGGAUAAAUGUUUCUACAAAGGUCUAUAGCAAUAGUUUCAUUAAACCCAAAGCCAAGACUCUUAGCUGGCGUCUUUGGGCUCCUCAUAUUCAACAGACAAAAAGAGCACUGGUGUUUGGCCUGAGGUGAUGGAUUCUGAUUAUCUAGAAUAAAUCGGGCUGCUAACACACAAUGGGAAUAAAGAAAAGUAUGUCCGGAAAGCAGGUGGUCCUCUGGGUUACCUCUUAAUAUUCCCAUUCCCAGUGAGUAAAGCCACUGGAAAAUGAAAACAAUCUAAUACAUGGGGGACUCUCAUGGCUUAGACCUGUGGCCCCCAACCUUUUUGGCACCAGGGACCAGAUUUGUGGAAGAUACUGUUUCAGUGGACUUAUGGGGUGGGAGAUGGUUUUGGGAUGAAACUGUUCCACCUCAUAUCAUCAGGCAUUAGAGUGUCACAAGGAGUAUGCAACCUGGAUCCCUCACAUGUGCAGUUCACAAUAGGGUUUGCAAUCCUAUGAGAAUCUAAUGCCGCCACCGAUCUGACAGGAGGCAAAGCUCAAGCGGUAGUGCUUGCCUGCCACUCACCUCGUGCUGUGUGUCCCAGUUCCUAACAGGCCAUGGACCAGGGGUUGAGGACCCCGGCCUACACCAAAUUAUAACAAGCUUAAGACAAAGAGUAGUAGAAAAAGGUAAUUAUAAAUACUAUGCAUGACCAUAUGACCAGUGGCAGAAAUGAGCACUGUAAUACUUAUGAAUGUUUUCCUUAUUUUAAUAUGCAAAUACUUGUGUGUAUAUUAAUUUUUUUUUCUCUUUUCCUUUUACAUUUGCCUAACAUCUAACAUAAAAAGUAUUAAAAGUAAUUAAUCUUGUAUGAUAGCGUUUAAUUUGUAAGAUAUCAAAGAAGGAAUGUGACUCAGGUAGAAGGGUAAUAAAAGUCACUCAAGAGGCCUGGCGUGGUGGCUCACACCUGUAAUCCCACCACUUUGGUCAAGGCUGGUGAGGCGGGUGGAUCACGAGGUCAGGAGACAGAAACCAUCCUGGCUAACACGGUGAAACCCCGUCUCUACUAAAAAUACAAAAAAGCUGGGCGUCAUGGCAGGCGCCUGUAGUCCCAGCUACUCGGGAGACUGAGGCAGGAGAAUGGUGUGAACCCAGGAGGCAUAGCUUGCAGGGAGCCAAGAUCGCGCCACUGCACUCCAGCCUGGGCCACAAAGCAAGACUCCGUCUCAAAAAAAAAAAGUCUAGAAUGAAUAAGUAGAUUUUGUGUCUUAUUUGAGGAGAAAGUUGUACAAAGGACAAUUUCAUUAUGUUAUAGGGAAGCAUGACUUUGCUAUUGUCUUAAGGUAGAAGUUAUGUUAAGUGCAGUUAACAGAGUUGUACAUAAAUAUGACAUUGACAGGGAGAAUUAUAGUGGGAUUGUAUUGUGCCAGUUUAACAAAGAUAGAAGUACAUUUCCCAGAAAUCCCUUCCCUUUAUCAUUCUGGUUUAGUGUGAACCAGAUGUUUUUGGUAAAUAUUAGAGGCUAGUAGUGAAAUAACAGUUGUCUUUUUACAUUCAAGAGGCCAAAUGAGGUCACCAGGCAUGAGGAAGUUUUUGUGUUCUUUUGUAAAAACCUGGAAAUCUGAAGUUAAAUAUGCGUAUCAGAUUAUUAUUCUCAUACACUGUACAAUUCAAAGAAAUGAUAUUUCAUCAAUUUUAAGAAAACAAAAUACUGUGAAUUUUGUCAUUAUUAAACCAAAUAUGAUGCCUGUACAGCUGUAGAAAACACAUUUUAGUGGGAACUGACAAAAGCCAAUUACUUCAUUUCAUUAAAAAACCAUAUACCUUUUCUUACCAUUUAAAAAAAUGCAAGAAUGAUCAUUUUAUAAAUAUUCUAUGAAUCAUCAAUCCUACCAUUUUAAAGUAGUUUGUAAUUUAGAAAGUUAGUUUAGUGUUUAAGUAUUUCUUAAAUUUUAAGCCCUAUUUCCAUUAUCAUUAUUAGUUUUUGCAUCCUACUUUGGAAAAACUAAUAUGUUUUAAAGAAUUCUAUCCUUACACUGGCCAUUCAAACAACAAAAUUUUUUCAACAUUUUGAUUUAUUUUUUCCUCUCUAAGUAUGUCACCCUGGAUAAAAAUGCUAUUAAUGUCCAGAUUAAGGCAUAAAAGUAUGGACUUGGCACCUGAUAGCAGUUAUCUUUUCCAGUUCAAAAUUAUAUUCCCUUCUAAAUUUGCAUUAUAGUGUGAACAAAUGGACAGUCAGCCAAUAAAUGGUUUGUUAUUGUAUUUAUAAUCUUAGAAAGCACAAUGAUCCCAUAAAUUUAAAUUUGACAUUCUUGGGCAACAGCUGAAAUCUGUUCACUUGUCAAUAAUGUUAUCAUUAUAUGGAAGCUAUACAAUUCAGAUAAGACAAAGAUGGUAUAACACAGAGAAAAGCCUGGAAGACAAUUAUAGUGACACACUUUUUAAAAUCAGAAAACAAAAAAUAAGUUGUUUGAUGAAACAGUCAAAUAAGACAUUGUGACUUAUUGUCACAAUAUUUAAAAACCAUCUUUAAAUAUCAAAUGAAAUUUUACUUUGGGGAACAUGCCUUUAUAUCUUUUUAAAAUUAUAUUUUGCCACUUGCUUUAGCAGGUAACAAUACAAGUUGUAAUUAUACAUAGCAAAUUAAAAAUUUGAGAAAAUAAGACUUGAACUUAAGAUUCUAAUCUGUGUUAGUACAUUCAUUUAUUGAAAAUUAUGUUCGAUUUCUCUUUCAGUUGGCAAAAGUAUGUGGUGAAGCGAUGAGAAUACAGUCAUCAAGUGAUUCUUUAUUAGAGCUAUAUAACAUCUUAAAAGACAUUAAAAUAAUCUUCAAAUUGACAACCAUUCUGCAAUUAAUUACACUUGGAAAUAUAUCACGUUUAGAUCCAAGUGCAAAGUAUUCUGUGCCAUGUAUUAUGUAUUGACUCAAUUACAUCACAUACUAAAUGCAAUCAUUGGAUUUAUUUUUCUAAAAUUAUCCUUUAGAAAAUGGGUCCCCAAACCCCAGGCCAUGGACUAGUACCUGUUCAUGGCCUGUUAGGAACUGGGCUGCACAGCAGGAAGUGAGGGGGAGGCAAGCAAACAUUACCACCUGAGCUCUGCCUCCUGUCAGACCAGUAGCAGCAUUAUUGUGAACUCCGCAUGCGAGGGAUCAGUUGCAUGCUUCUUAUGGGAAUCUAAUUAAUGCCUCAUGAUCUGAGGUGGAAUAGUUUCAUCCUGAAACCAGCCUCUACCAUAAUCUGUGGAAAAAAUAUCUUUCAUGAAACCAGUCUCUGGUGCCAAAAUGGUUGGGAACUGCUGCUUUAGAAUACAUACAGACUACAGAAUUUAGAAGAAUGCCUAGAAUGUUUAGGAAAUGAAUAACAAUGUAAUUUGUAGCCCCUUAUAGUUGAAAUUAUUUUAAAAUAAAUUAUCCUUAUUAGUUUCUUGAACUAGUAACUGUGUAUGAUAGUUUCCUCACAUGCAUAUCAAAAAAUCUCAACCAUGUGUUGUACAUGAAAGACACUGCAGUUAAGAGAGAUGGAUUCAAUAGUAUUAUUUUUACUAAAUUUAUAAGCCCUUCCAUGGCACUUUGAUUUCCAGUACCUCUUAGUAGAAGGGAUGUACUUUCCGUUCCUUUGAAACCAGGCUUGACACAGGAGUUUCUUUGGUAAAGGGAAUGUAAGCAUCCAUCACUCAAUGGAAUGUCCAACAGAAGCUUUAUGAACUAUCUCAUAGUUUUACAAAGAUUCUUCUUUUCCAUUUGCCAUAAUAACAAGUUAUAGAUAAAGAUUAGUCCAUUAGCCUGGAUCUACAAAAGAAGAGGAUAUGUAAAACAAAAUUGAGCAGGGACAAGCAAAGCCAAAGCUAUGUCCUGAGUAAAGGUAAUGAGAAAGAAAUAGCUUUUUUUGUUGUUGUUGUAUGACACAGUUACUAAAUCAUUUGCUUCCAAACAUUCCUAUUUUAUUUAUAUUUUUAUUAAACUCCAUAGUAGAUUUUAUCUAUUUUCAUCUGUUUAUAUAAUUAUAUAUUUUCCCCUUUUUAAUGUAUUGAUUGAGUGGGUUAUGCUGCUACAAUUCCUUAAUUAUAACAAUAUUCUUGGAAUAAAUACUACUUAGUUAUAGUGUGCUAUUCUUUUGAGAUUUAAUCAUUUUAAAAUGAUUAAAAGCUGGAUUUACAUGAUUGUAUUUUCACUGGGAUUCUAUAUUAUAGUAAUAAGCUAAAUUAGGUUUGUGGUAUUAAAUAUGGUGAAAAUAA
Molecule: long non-coding RNA, 5260 nt
Organism: Homo sapiens (human)
Lineage: Eukaryota; Metazoa; Chordata; Mammalia; Primates; Hominidae
Exons: 2
Source: RefSeq, a predicted model, not a curated record